Cicer arietinum (chickpea) is the source of this 72-nucleotide non-coding RNA. The record is from Rfam. NCBI's taxonomy places the organism in Eukaryota, Viridiplantae, Streptophyta, Magnoliopsida, Fabales, Fabaceae.
AUGGCACGGUGAUGAACGAUUUAUUGUCAUAUGAUAUCUCAUGUGAUUAAAAACACCUCCUACUCAUACUGA